UGCAGUCGAGCGCGCCCUUCGGGGUGAGCGGCGGACGGGUUAGUAACGCGUGGGAAUAUACCCUUUUCUGCGGAAUAGCCUCUGGAAACGGAGAGUAAUACCGCAUACGCCCUUCGGGGGAAAGAUUUAUCGGGGAAGGAUUAGCCCGCGUUAGAUUAGGUAGUUGGUGGGGUAAUGGCCUACCAAGCCUACGAUCUAUAGCUGGUUUUAGAGGAUGAUCAGCAACACUGGGACUGAGACACGGCCCAGACUCCUACGGGAGGCAGCAGUGGGGAAUCUUGGACAAUGGGGGCAACCCUGAUCCAGCCAUGCCGCGUGAGUGAUGAAGGCCUUAGGGUCGUAAAGCUCUUUCGCCUGUGAAGAUAAUGACGGUAGCAGGUAAAGAAACCCCGGCUAACUCCGUGCCAGCAGCCGCGGUAAUACGGAGGGGGUUAGCGUUGUUCGGAAUUACUGGGCGUAAAGCGCACGUAGGCGGACUGGAAAGUUGGGGGUGAAAUCCCAGGGCUCAACCCUGGAACUGCCUCCAAAACUAUCAGUCUAGAGUUCGAGAGAGGUGAGUGGAAUUCCGAGUGUAGAGGUGAAAUUCGUAGAUAUUCGGAGGAACACCAGUGGCGAAGGCGGCUCACUGGCUCGAUACUGACGCUGAGGUGCGAAAGUGUGGGGAGCAAACAGGAUUAGAUACCCUGGUAGUCCACACCGUAAACGAUGAAUGCCAGUCGUCGGGUAGCAUGCUAUUCGGUGACACACCUAACGGAUUAAGCAUUCCGCCUGGGGAGU
Molecule: ribosomal RNA, 777 nt
Filed under: Ruegeria sp.
Lineage: Bacteria; Pseudomonadati; Pseudomonadota; Alphaproteobacteria; Rhodobacterales; Roseobacteraceae
Description: bacterial SSU rRNA
Rfam family: Bacterial small subunit ribosomal RNA
Source: RNAcentral